This 30-nucleotide small RNA is filed under the name Bombyx mori (domestic silkworm). RNAcentral describes it as "piRNA piR-bmo-1398176". Lineage: Eukaryota; Metazoa; Arthropoda; Insecta; Lepidoptera; Bombycidae. The record is from RNAcentral.
UUGUCGUUGGUGAUAGGCAAGUGUGCCACC